UUAACCGAAUAGGGGAGCCGGAGGGAAACCGAGUCUUAAUUGGGCGUUAAGUUGCAGGGUAUAGACCCGAAACCCGGUGAUCUAGCCAUGGGCAGGUUGAAGGUUGGGUAACACUAACUGGAGGACCGAACCGACUAAUGUUGAAAAAUUAGCGGAUGACCUGUGGCUGGGGGUGAAAGGCCAAUCAAACCGGGAGAUAGCUGGUUCUCCCCGAAAGCUAUUUAGGUAGCGCCUCGUGAAUUCAUCUCCGGGGGUAGAGCACUGUUUCGGCUAGGGGGCCAUCCCGGCUUACCAACCCGAUGCAAACUGCGAAUACCGGAGAAUGUUAUCACGGGAGACACACGGCGGGUGCUAACGUCCGUCGUGAAGAGGGAAACAACCCAGACCGCCAGCUAAGGUCCCAAAGUCAUGGUUAAGUGGGAAACGAUGUGGGAAGGCCCAGACAGCCAGGAUGUUGGCUUAGAAGCAGCCAUCAUUUAAAGAAAGCGUAAUAGCUCACUGGUCGAGUCGGCCUGCGCGGAAGAUGUAACGGGGCUAAACCAUGCACCGAAGCUGCGGCAGCGACACUCAGGUGUUGUUGGGUA
This 584-nucleotide ribosomal RNA is filed under the name Salmonella enterica. Its description in RNAcentral is "partial 23S ribosomal RNA". It matches the Rfam family "Bacterial large subunit ribosomal RNA", at positions 646 to 1230 of the family's 2925-position model. The record is from RNAcentral. Lineage: Bacteria; Pseudomonadati; Pseudomonadota; Gammaproteobacteria; Enterobacterales; Enterobacteriaceae.